This 397-nucleotide ribosomal RNA is filed under the name uncultured bacterium. RNAcentral's name for it is "partial 16S ribosomal RNA". It matches the Rfam family "Bacterial small subunit ribosomal RNA", at positions 523 to 918 of the family's 1533-position model. The record is from RNAcentral.
AUACGUAGGGGGCGAGCGUUGUCCGGAAUGAUUGGGCGUAAAGGGCGCGUAGGCGGCCCGGUAAGUCUGGAGUGAAAGUCCUGUUUUUAAGAUGGGAAUUGCUUUGGAUACUGUCGGGCUUGAGUGCAGGAGAGGUAAGUGGAAUUCCCAGUGUAGCGGUGAAAGGCGUAGAGAUUGGGAGGAACACCAGUGGCGAAGGCGACUUACUGGACUGUAACUGACGCUGAGGCGCGAAAGUGUGGGGAGCAAACAGGAUUAGAUACCCUGGUAGUCCACACUGUAAACGAUGAAUGCUAGGUGUAGGGGGUAUCAACCCCUUCUGUGCCGCAGUCAACACAAUAAGCAUUCCGCCUGGGGAGUACGGCCGCAAGGUUGAAACUCAAAUGAAUUGACGGGG